ACGCUUUUAGUUCAGCUUGGUCAAAUGUGGGUCUCCAAAAUUUAAUAUCAUAGGUUCAAAUCUUAUAAAACGUA
RNAcentral lists this transfer RNA (74 nucleotides) under Ricinus communis (castor bean). It matches the Rfam family "tRNA". From Rfam's summary of the family: Transfer RNA (tRNA) molecules are approximately 80 nucleotides in length. Their secondary structure includes four short double-helical elements and three loops (D, anti-codon, and T loops). Lineage: Eukaryota; Viridiplantae; Streptophyta; Magnoliopsida; Malpighiales; Euphorbiaceae. The record is from Rfam by way of RNAcentral.